Long non-coding RNA from Vidua macroura (Pin-tailed whydah), 559 nucleotides. RefSeq lists it as uncharacterized. NCBI's taxonomy places the organism in Eukaryota, Metazoa, Chordata, Aves, Passeriformes, Viduidae. The transcript is spliced from 4 exons. The record is from RefSeq and is a predicted model, not a curated record.
ACCCCUUUGCCCCCCAAGUAUAAUUCCUGAAGAAUUAGCCUCUCAUUACACACCAUUAAAUCUCUUGUCACUCAAUCCUGUAGGUUGAUAGAAGCAUAGGAUAUGCUGUGGGGGCAAAAGCUCCCCUAAGAGUUAAACUUGGCACUUCUCUGCUUGGUGAUACAGACUCUGGAUGGGUGGUCCCUCUGGAUCUCCUUUCAAUAACAGGUUCACAGGAACCAAAUGGGAGCUAAAUGGAACACUACUAUCAUCUUCUCAGUCUCAGCAGAGAGCAAGGAACAAUUUGACAUAGAAAAUGAGGUCCUUCUGGUCAGACAUGCAACGGAAAAAUGGUAGAAGACAUAAAAUUAGCCUUUUGAAUGCCAUACCUCAUCUCUGGAUUUCAUUAGUGUUCUCCAGCAGUCUGAAGCUGCUUUUGACGACAGUUCUGGAAAAUGAAAAAGUCGUGGAAUGUGUGGGAACCAAGAGCCUGGGACACUACUAAACUGUCAUAACUUGAAAACUGUGUCAUCUGUGAAAUAACACAUGCCCCAGUUUAUAUUGCACUGUUUAGAUUAAA